GCCAAACUCCUGUUUUUGUAUAUCCAAGAAUGUGUGGAAUGCAGGAUUGUUGCCACCAAAAUUUAUUGACACACCGAAACCACUCACACAUUACAAAGUGGUCGCAUCAGAGACCCCCAUUGCCGCCAUUACAUGUGAUGGAUUGAAACCAUGGUCUCACCACAUAUCCCAACCAGUUACUGCAAUUGUGUAGGUAGGCUACAAUAGGCUACAUUGACUUCCGCAUCUCUUAUGAACCAACAAUCAUGCACUGGUGAUGGAGAAAAACAAGGUCACCUGACUUGGCUACGCCGGCGCCAUCUUGCCAGCAAAAUGCAAUACAGUGAAAUGUAAUUUAUUGAUGAUUAAAACGAACAAAAAUCAUUAACAUUACCUAUCAUUGAGGUCAGUUCUGUAUGGCGCUCCGACAUUGCUUUAAAAAGCAUGGAAAACGUAAAGCUUUACGCGCUACUAAUUGUUUUUUCUCAAAUGCACCGACUUUGCUGGCUGAGAGAACACAUUUGAUGAGAAGCUGUCGCUCAUGUCAUGUACAUUUCAGGUCAUUUCGUUCUCGACAGUCUUCUUCCACUUUCCUGGCCAGUUUCCGCACCGUGCCUGCAGGAUCAUUUGGAACCAUUUUUGGGUAUUGCUGUUUGUCGCAUUUGCCAGCACCAUAUUUCCGCUGGGUGUGUCCCUCUGACUAUAUGCCCUUGUUCUGCCUUGAAUGUGAGAAGAGAACUGCAUACUGCGUGUUUCUUGUGCGCAGAGCAGUUUUCCACGUCGCUCGACCUUUCCCGCAACCAUCUCUCCCUCCCUUGCUCUGAAUAGAGCUCAAACUCAAACAUUUCCGCUUGAGACGAGGGGAAUAGGCAGGCUCGUUUGUAGGAAAAUAGCAACAUCAGUUAUAACCUAAAGCUUGGGGUAUCAGUGGACUCUUCCUCAUACCAACGUGGGAUCCAGA
Molecule: long non-coding RNA, 940 nt
Organism: Oncorhynchus gorbuscha (pink salmon)
Lineage: Eukaryota; Metazoa; Chordata; Actinopteri; Salmoniformes; Salmonidae
Exons: 2
Source: RefSeq, a predicted model, not a curated record